This 493-nucleotide ribosomal RNA is filed under the name uncultured bacterium. RNAcentral's name for it is "partial 16S ribosomal RNA". It matches the Rfam family "Bacterial small subunit ribosomal RNA", at positions 29 to 507 of the family's 1533-position model. The record is from RNAcentral.
ACGAACGCUGGCGGCGUGCUUAACCCAUGCAAGUCGAACGGUGAAGCGCCUUCCUUUUUGGUGGGUGUGGAUGAGUGGCGAACGGGUGAGUAACACGUGAGUAACCUGCCCCCUUCUUCUGGAUAACCGCAUGAAAGUGUGGCUAAUACGGGAUAUUCUGGGUCUGUCGCAUGAUGGGUCUGGGAAAGAUAUUGUUUCGGUGGGGGAUGGGCUCGCGGCCUAUCAGCUUGUUGGUGGGGUGAUGGCCUACCAAGGCGGUGACGGGUAGCCGGCCUGAGAGGGUGGACGGUCACACUGGGACUGAGACACGGCCCAGACUCCUACGGGAGGCAGCAGGGGGGAAUAUUGCACAAUGGGCGCAAGCCUGAUGCAGCGACGCCGCGUGAGGGAUGGAGGCCUUCGGGUUGUGAACCUCUUUCGCCAGUGAAGCAGGCCUGCCUCGUUUGUGGGUGGGUUGACGGUAGCUGGAGAAGAAGCGCCGGCUAACUACGUG